Molecule: ribosomal RNA, 492 nt
Filed under: uncultured bacterium
Lineage: Bacteria
Description: partial 16S ribosomal RNA
Rfam family: Bacterial small subunit ribosomal RNA
Source: RNAcentral
AGUGAACGCUGGCGGUAGGCCUAACACAUGCAAGUCGAACGGCAGCACAGUAAGAGCUUGCUCUUACGGGUGGCGAGUGGCGGACGGGUGAGGAAUACAUCGGAAUCUACUUUUUCGUGGGGGAUAACGUAGGGAAACUUACGCUAAUACCGCAUACGACCUACGGGUGAAAGCAGGGGAUCUUCGGACCUUGCGCGAUUGAAUGAGCCGAUGUCGGAUUAGCUAGUUGGCGGGGUAAAGGCCCACCAAGGCGACGAUCCGUAGCUGGUCUGAGAGGAUGAUCAGCCACACUGGAACUGAGACACGGUCCAGACUCCUACGGGAGGCAGCAGUGGGGAAUAUUGGACAAUGGGCGCAAGCCUGAUCCGGCCAUACCGCGUGGGUGAAGAAGGCCUUCGGGUUGUAAAGCCCUUUUGUUGGGAAAAAAAAGCAGCAGGUUAAUACCCCGCUGUUCUGACGGUACCCAAAGAAUAAGCACCGGCUAACUUCGUG